UAGGGAAUCUUCCGCAAUGGGCGAAAGCCUGACGGAGCAACGCCGCGUGAGUGAUGAAGGUCUUCGGAUCGUAAAACUCUGUUAUUAGGGAAGAACAAAUGUGUAAGUAACUAUGCACGUCUUGACGGUACCUAAUCAGAAAGCCACGGCUAACUACGUGCCAGCAGCCGCGGUAAUACGUAGGUGGCAAGCGUUAUCCGGAAUUAUUGGGCGUAAAGCGCGCGUAGGCGGUUUUUUAAGUCUGAUGUGAAAGCCCACGGCUCGACCGUGGAGGGUCAUUGGAAACUGGAAAACUUGAGUGCAGAAGAGGAAAGUGGAAUUCCAUGUGUAGCGGUGAAAUGCGCAGAGAUAUGGAGGAACACCAGUGGCGAAGGCGACUUUCUGGUCUGUAACUGACGCUGAUGUGCGAAAGCGUGGGGAUCAAACAGG
This 429-nucleotide ribosomal RNA is filed under the name Actinomycetes bacterium. RNAcentral's name for it is "Actinobacteria bacterium partial 16S ribosomal RNA". It matches the Rfam family "Bacterial small subunit ribosomal RNA", at positions 355 to 776 of the family's 1533-position model. The record is from RNAcentral. Lineage: Bacteria; Bacillati; Actinomycetota; Actinomycetes.